Molecule: ribosomal RNA, 253 nt
Filed under: uncultured bacterium
Lineage: Bacteria
Description: partial 16S ribosomal RNA
Rfam family: Bacterial small subunit ribosomal RNA
Source: RNAcentral
UACAGAGGUGGCAAGCGUUGUUCGGAAUUACUGGGCGUAAAGGGCGAGUAGGUGGCCAUCUAAGUCAGACGUGAAAUCCCCCGGCUUAACCUGGGAACUGCGUCUGAUACUGGACGGCUUGAGUAUGGGAGAGGAAUGUAGAAUUCCAGGUGUAGCGGUGAAAUGCGUAGAUAUCUGGAGGAAUACCGGUAGCGAAGGCGGCAUUCUGGACCAUUACUGACACUGAAUCGCGAAAGCUAGGGGAGCAAACGGG